Long non-coding RNA from Lolium rigidum, 974 nucleotides. RefSeq lists it as uncharacterized. The transcript has 3 exons. NCBI's taxonomy places the organism in Eukaryota, Viridiplantae, Streptophyta, Magnoliopsida, Poales, Poaceae. The record is from RefSeq and is a predicted model, not a curated record.
CGCAAUCGUCGUCGCCUGGGUCGGGUGUACUGUCGAUGCGUCACAAAGUCGCACCUGGAGGAGCCAAGUUGUUGUGCUCUAACACGGUCGACGCCAGGCACAAGAUCUUCCUGGUGACUCCAUGACGACGAGCACGGUGUGCGCCAGCGCAACGGUUAAUCUGGGGACUACCGGCGCGGGAACUCCGGCGUGCAGGUCUUAGUAAGUGCAGGUGGUGUUUCCGGCCAGCGGCGAGUCCAUCUGCCUUCUACGUCGCCUCAUCUGGUAUGAAUUGAAUUUCUUCGUCGUCAACUGCUGAGGUAUUGUGCUUAAAACAACACUUUCAGAAACGGCCAUCGUUAAUCUAGGCAGCAUCCAGUUUGUUGGCCUGACGGUUAGCCGGUUUUCAGAUCAGAUUAGCAGUGCCAAUUGAGAUGACACGAAGCUGAUGCAAUGUAAAGUUUAGGAUGCAACAAGGGUGGCACUACCACUGCCGAAGUAAAUAAGAACAGGGGCCCCUCCUGCAUGGUUUCGGUGAGCUUGGAUAAUGAAAACAUUCGGCCUUUACUGAACUUAUUUCAUUCAGUAAAAAUAUGUGAAUUGAGGACUACAUUGGUUCUCUUUCUUGUGGGUGGAGUAUUGUUUUUAUGCAUGGCAUUCGUUUUAAAGGAAUGCCUAGGUGUUAUUUUUCCUCAACUGAACUAUUUUGUAUCUUCAGUUAAGUUUUGAUUUGUCCCUACAUUCAUGUUCAUAGAGAAAUUGUAUUAUCAUGUCCAUCUAGAGUAUGGUGCUUUGGUAAGGGUUUAGGAAGUUUCUACUGGUUGUUUUUUGAUUCAGACAUGGGGCAUAAAAGUAACACUGCAUGUCUUAUGACUAAAUGAUAUGUAUCUAGGAUGCAAUUCGGUCGUUGAAAAGCCGAGGAGAGGUCUAAAUAUUUUAUAACUUUUGUUUUCCUAGCUACUGGUGCAUUACUCAUGAUUGUUGAAUUAAAUACC